UACGGGGGGAGCAAGCGUUGUUCGGAUUUACUGGGCGUAAAGGGCGCGUAGGCGGUCAGCACAAGUCAGUUGUGAAAUCUCCGGGCUUAACCCGGAAAGGUCAACUGAUACUGUGCGACUAGAGUGCGGAAGGGGCAACUGGAAUUCUCGGUGUAGCGGUGAAAUGCGUAGAUAUCAGGAGGAACACCGAUGGCGAAGGCAGGUCUCUGGGCUGACACUGACGCUCAUGCACGAAAGCGUGGGGAGCAAACAGG
RNAcentral lists this ribosomal RNA (254 nucleotides) under uncultured bacterium. RNAcentral's name for it is "partial 16S ribosomal RNA". It matches the Rfam family "Bacterial small subunit ribosomal RNA", at positions 524 to 776 of the family's 1533-position model. The record is from RNAcentral.